Non-coding RNA from Momordica charantia (bitter melon), 380 nucleotides. The record is from RefSeq and is a predicted model, not a curated record. Lineage: Eukaryota; Viridiplantae; Streptophyta; Magnoliopsida; Cucurbitales; Cucurbitaceae.
AAGAAAACCCUACGCUCCUCCGGUUGAGUUCGAAAACUAGAGAAAGAGAGGGAGUUGGGAAAUCGAGCUCAGAAGCUUGAAUCAAGGCGUUGAAAAGGUGAAUUUGGGUCAAGCGGAAUUUGGAACGGCGUACGAUCCGAUUUAAAGGAUUUCAGGUUGAGAAGUUGACGUAACUAGGUUGCAGGGGACGUAGGGGAAUGCCGGGGCAAUUAGGGCCAAAUCUGGAUUCCGAAUCCUGGACUUGGGAGCAGUUGCCUUUUCAAUUUGACUAGAGAGAAAUUGUUGUUACAAGUUUUAUCUUGAGAAAGUUUACCGAGUUUUUAGUUGUUCAAGUUUUAAAACAUCUAAAUGAGAAAGUUUGUUACUUUAGUUUUAUGAAG